This is a long non-coding RNA of Sceloporus undulatus (fence lizard), 684 nucleotides long. RefSeq lists it as uncharacterized. Lineage: Eukaryota; Metazoa; Chordata; Lepidosauria; Squamata; Phrynosomatidae. The record is from RefSeq and is a predicted model, not a curated record. The transcript has 3 exons.
CUUGGGUCUCUUUUGGGAGAAAGGUGGCAUAGAAAUAAAAUAAAUAAAUAAAUAAAUAAAUAAUAGUGUGUAAAAAGGUGGAAGAACAGUAGUAACCAUCUACAGUAUAAAUAUUGUUGUUUGUACUUGUUUAUUCCAAGAGAAAAUGAUUAUUUCCCCAAAAGGGUAAAUCCAAGAAGUCUAAUAUAAUUGCUCUUGGGUGGCAAAGAUUUUACUGAAAUCAAUUAAAAUUUUACUUGAGGUAAAAAUUUAACAUCAGACCUUGGAGAUCUAGAUCAUUUCCCCACCUCUUAUUAAUGUUGUUUGGAUUCUAUUUUGUAUGAAAGGACAAAGAAAUCUAACAGAGAAAAUCCAAGCAGAUUAUAGCAAUUGAAUUAAGCUGAGGAGGAAGAGGGAAAGUGGCUGGAGUAGAGAGGAACGGGGACAUUUUAAAGAAGCUGAAGAAACAGAAUGACAGAAAAUUAAUCAAGAUUGUUCCUACAAAACCUGGACAGUUAUAGGAGCUUCCUGGGAAGAUCAACUGGAAGACAGAUUAUCCCCUGGACACAGAGCAUGAGCUAAUGUUUUGCACUGAAUCUUCCAUUAGUCAUCAUUACCCACCCAUUGACAAAAUUCAGAAUAAUUUCACAGUCGACUCCCUUCUGACAGUGCCUAAUACACAAAUCUAAUAAAAACAACCAUUAU